AUUGAACGCUGGCGGCAUGCUUUACACAUGCAAGUCGAACGGCAGCGCGGGGCAACCUGGCGGCGUGUGGCGAACGGGUGAGUAAUAUAUCGGAACGUACCCAGAAGUGGGGGAUAACGUAGCGACAGUUACGCUAAUACCGCAUACGAUCUACGGAUGAAAGUAGGGGACCGCAAGGCCUUAUGCUUUUGGAGCGGCCGAUAUCUGAUUAGCUAGUUGGUGAGGUAAAGGCUCACCAAGGCGACGAUCAGUAGCUGGUCUGAGAGGACGACCAGCCACACUGGAACUGAGACACGGUCCAGACUCCUACGGGAGGCAGCAGUGGGGAAUUUUGGACAAUGGGCGCAAGCCUGAUCCAGCAAUGCCGCGUGAGUGACGAAGGCCUUCGGGUUGUAAAGCUCUUUUGUCAGGGAAGAAACGGUAGAGGCUAAUAUCCUUUGCUAAUGACGGUACCUGAAGAAUAAGCACCGGCUAACUACGUG
This 482-nucleotide ribosomal RNA is filed under the name uncultured bacterium. RNAcentral's name for it is "partial 16S ribosomal RNA". It matches the Rfam family "Bacterial small subunit ribosomal RNA", at positions 30 to 507 of the family's 1533-position model. The record is from RNAcentral.